RNAcentral lists this long non-coding RNA (221 nucleotides) under Elaeis guineensis (African oil palm). RNAcentral describes it as "long non-coding RNA (EGUI_LNC002324)". The record is from RNAcentral. Lineage: Eukaryota; Viridiplantae; Streptophyta; Magnoliopsida; Arecales; Arecaceae.
AUCGGAAGGAGUCCUAUUUCAAUUUCGAUUUUCAAAAAAAAUAAAAAUUUUCUCAAUUCUUCAAAAUUUAAUCUCUACUCUUCCAUACACACUUUUUCUCCUAGUAUUCAAAUGCCAUUUUAAUUCCUGUUCCAAUAAUGAAGCAAAUGCGUCAGGAGAUACUGCCGGUUCUAAUUUGAAUUCCAAUCUAUUCUAAUUCCGAGCACGAACCAAACACACCC